This 493-nucleotide long non-coding RNA is filed under the name Phasianus colchicus (ring-necked pheasant). RNAcentral's name for it is "lncRNA (ENSPCLG00000019787.1)". The record is from RNAcentral. Lineage: Eukaryota; Metazoa; Chordata; Aves; Galliformes; Phasianidae.
CAAUGGGGUCAAUGAGGACGUUGGGGGUGUUGGGGUCAUUGGGGACAGUGGGGUCAAUGGGGUCAGUGGGGUCAACGGGGUCAACGGGGAUGUUGGGGUCAAUGGGGCCAAUGGGGUCAACGAGGAUGUUGGGGGUGUUGGGGUCAUUGGGGUCAAUGGGGUCAACGGGGACGUUGGGGUCAAUGGGGCCAAUGGGGUCAAUGGGGACACUGGGGUCAAUGAGGACAUGGGGGGUGUUGGGGUCAGUGGGGUCAUUGGGGUCUUUGGGGUCAGUGGGGUCGUUCGGGACACACUGGGGUCAGCGGGGUCAUUGGGGUCAGUGGGGUCAGGGGGGUCAUUGGGGUCGUUUGGGACACACUGGGGUCAGUGGGGUCAGUGGGGUCAGUGGGGUCAGUGCGUCCCCCUGCCCCCAUUGGGGUCGCCCCACCUCAUCCUCGCAGUAUUUGCGGAUGACGUCCAGGGCGCCUUCGGUGAUGAGCGGCGCCUCCAGCAC